Molecule: ribosomal RNA, 648 nt
Filed under: uncultured bacterium
Lineage: Bacteria
Description: bacterial SSU rRNA
Rfam family: Bacterial small subunit ribosomal RNA
Source: RNAcentral
UGCAGUCGAGCGGGGAAGCCUAAGGCCUCUUUGGGGUAAGGCUUCCCAGCGGCAAACGGGUGAGUAACACGUGGGUGACCUGCCCCGAAGAGGGGGAUAACCCUGGGAAACUGGGGCUAAUACCCCAUGUGCUUUGUGGGGUUAGAGGACCACAAAGUAAAUGGUAUGGCAAGCCGAAAGGCGCCAUGCCGCUUCGGGAGGGGCCCGCGGCCCAUCAGGUAGUUGGUGGGGUAAUGGCCUACCAAGCCUAUGACGGGUAGCCGGCCUGAGAGGGUGUCCGGCCACACGGGGACUGAGACACGGCCCCGACUCCUACGGGAGGCAGCAGUGGGGAAUCUUGGGCAAUGGGCGAAAGCCUGACCCAGCGACGCCGCGUGGGGGAAGAAGCCCUGCGGGGUGUAAACCCCUUUUCGGGGGGAAGAGGGAGGACGGUACCCCCGGAAUAAGGGCCGGCUAACUACGUGCCAGCAGCCGCGGUAAAACGUAGGGCCCGAGCGUUACCCGGAAUCACUGGGCGUAAAGCGCACGCAGGCGGCCUGGUAAGUCGGGCGUGAAAUCUCCCAGCUCAACUGGGAGGGGCCGUCCGAUACUGCUGGGCUUGAGGGCGGGAGAGGGAGGUGGAAUUCCCCGUGUAACGGUGAAAUGCGU